Long non-coding RNA from Seriola dumerili (greater amberjack), 321 nucleotides. RefSeq lists it as uncharacterized. The transcript has 3 exons. NCBI's taxonomy places the organism in Eukaryota, Metazoa, Chordata, Actinopteri, Carangiformes, Carangidae. The record is from RefSeq and is a predicted model, not a curated record.
CAGGAAGCUCCACACCUUCACCAGUUUUCCCUGAAAUCACCAACCAGCCUACAGCUGCAGCUCCAACCACUUCAAAACCAAACAGGACUUUCCAACCCUUCUCAACUUCUGUCCCAUCAGCCUCCACACCAACAACAACCUCCACACCAACAACAACACUGAGUUUAAGCUCCAGUUCAGGAAGCUCAACACCUUCACCAGUUUUCCCUGAAACCUCCAACCAGCCUACAGCUGCAGCCUCAACCAAUUCAAAACCAAUCAGGACUCUCCAACCUUUUUCAACCUCAGUCCUAUCAGCCUCCACACCAACAACAAUACAGA